AUUGAACGCUGGCGGCAUGCCUUACACAUGCAAGUCGAACGGCAGCACGGGAGCAAUCCUGGUGGCGAGUGGCGAACGGGUGAGUAAUAUACCGGAACGUGCCCAGUCGUGGGGGAUAACGCAGCGAAAGCUGUGCUAAUACCGCAUACGAUCUACGGAUGAAAGCGGGGGAUCGCAAGACCUCGCGCGAUUGGAGCGGCCGAUAUCAGAUUAGCUAGUUGGUGAGGUAAAGGCUCACCAAGGCGACGAUCUGUAGCUGGUCUGAGAGGACGACCAGCCACACUGGAACUGAGACACGGUCCAGACUCCUACGGAAGGCAGCAGUGGGGAAUUUUGGACAAUGGGCGAAAGCCUGAUCCAGCAAUGCCGCGUGCAGGAUGAAGGCCUUCGGGUUGUAAACUGCUUUUGUACGGAACGAAACGGUGAGCUCUAAUACAGUUUGCUAAUGACGGUACCGUAAGAAUAAGCACCGGCUAACUACGUGCCAGCCGCCGCGGUAA
Molecule: ribosomal RNA, 500 nt
Filed under: uncultured bacterium
Lineage: Bacteria
Description: partial 16S ribosomal RNA
Rfam family: Bacterial small subunit ribosomal RNA
Source: RNAcentral